UACUUUUUUUUUUUCUUCUUUCUUGACUGACAGAGUCUUAAUUAGUUACGAUUAGCUAUUUUGUGGACUGGGUAUUGGUUGUACAGCCCCAAAAUAUGUAUUCAACAAAUACAGGAGUAAAAGGAGAAGAAAGGCUGCACCUGCUGUGCUUAUCUUGGAGAAAAGCUGCUCUUGUGUUUAGAAGAAAAACUUAGAACCUGGUGACUGAAGAUUGAUACUAGAAAACAGUGGUGGAACAUAUUGGAUGGAAUCUACAACUGGAGUGCCUACAACAAAAAAAUAUUCCCUUUUCUAUUAAGCACAGGAAUAUAUUUCAGCCAGAAAAAAGCAGCAACAGGAUUCCUUUCUUUCCAAUUCAAAUGUGACUUCCAUCCAUAUUUUGCACAGGCAGUUCUGCCCAGGGAUCCCUCAGAAUGAAUGAGCUGAAACUGAAAGCUCCUGUACCCUGACUAAUACCUUUAAGAAAAAGAGUGGUGCUUUAAAACAUGGUAACUCAAGC
RNAcentral lists this long non-coding RNA (499 nucleotides) under Cyanistes caeruleus (blue tit). Its description in RNAcentral is "lncRNA (ENSCCEG00000016069.1)". Lineage: Eukaryota; Metazoa; Chordata; Aves; Passeriformes; Paridae. The record is from RNAcentral.